GAGAGACAUCCCCUCAUUCUACCUCGUCGUCACAGUUACUGUUCUGUGUUGUGUAGGUGUAGCUCACUGUUGGGGAAGUUGUUGCUUGCAACCUGUUGGAACCGGCGAUCUGUUUCAAGUCCAUUUCUAAGCUUUGAGCGUCCAAGCCACCACCGCGACGACCACUCCUUUUAUCCUCAAUAUAGCUAGCUUUAUGACAUUGACACGUCGCGCUAUUUUCCUUUUAGGAAUCCCAAGUAGGCGUUCAAAAUAAGACAUCCAUGUUGUUCUAAAACCGCCGUCCUUACAAGUUGCCCUGGUACUGCGGAUGGAUUCCCUGAUCUGGGCUUCCGUGAAGGAUUGUGUUUAGUCCUAGUAAUGUAAAACGAGGACCUUCACUAUUCAUCUGAUUGUGGAAUUGGAUAUUCACAUGGUGAGGGCAAUUCCAAUUACGUAAGACUAAUCUUGGGGCAGACAGGAUUGGCUUUCAAGCCUGGCCUUGGCGUUCGGACCCAAUAUAGGGGCACUCGCAUACUACUUCCUGUUUCGAGCGGCCCCGGGCAAGAGACGAUUGUCAUUUCGGCGCGUUGUUCCGUUAGGAGCCCCUUCGCUACAAGCUGUGGCCAUUGCGUUGGCCCAGAUUCUCCAACUGGACUUCGUGCAAGUCGAGGACUUCCGCGAGGCAGCGCAGGUGUCUGUAAUUGGCACAAGGAACUGAGCGUUUGUGUCAAACACUGUAAUCCGAUCGCGAUCGACCCUCUCUUUCGUCCCCGACGCUAGCAACGGCUAAUCAAUAGAUCCAGGUAUUACUAUCGAUAUCGAAUGCUGCAACUGGUUCUAGCUCUUGACAUCGACUGGUUUUGACCACAACAUGAUAGUGAGAUUGUGGUUCUCUUAGAUGUUGAUUUGUUGAUUUCUUACUCACAAGAGUGCCAUGGAUUAGAAGUGAAUGCAAUUAAGAAACUUAGUUUGGUCAUUUUGUGUCUUCUGGAAGUCUUAGAUCAUAGUUUCAAGCAUCACGAUCUAAUUUAAACCUAUGAAUACGCAAGCUAACAAGGCUUGGUAUCCACAUUGAGAUAUUCCUUCAUGAUACAGCAAAGUUCCAAUUUGAUAUUAGUCACUCCUAAAUUGAUCAGAUAUCUAGUGGCAAGUCAUCAAAACCGUCGUUCCAACAAUCUAGUGCCUUGGAUUAGUCGCUUAAUCCUGAUCGUAGUUCAAUCGAUUGUAGGGAUCAAACUUCCUUCCCCUUGAGCAAAGAUCUCUGCUUGUGUAUUAGGCGAUCUAUUUACUUCACUAUUGGACCGUAUCAAAACCUUCACUUCAUCGAUUGAAGGAUUCCAUUAAAUGUACGAUCGAUCGAUGAUCAAACUACCAUGCAAAAACCAAUUUGACAAUCUCUUGUUUCUUAUUUUCAACUUACUGUUUGUUUUAGGUAGUAGAAGCAUGAAGCGAUUAGGUUAGAUCGUCUAGUUUCUUGCGGUGUUAUGCCAUUUCAUUAAUUGUUGUGUUUUGUAAGCAUUAAUGCAGUUUGAUGAAUCUUAGGUUGAAAAAUCAUUUGUUACAUGCUAUUGGAUUAGUUGAUGUACAAAGGUAUGUGAAUCAACUUGAAAAUGCUGAUUAAAAUGACAUUUUUUGCUUA
Physcomitrium patens is the source of this 1618-nucleotide non-coding RNA. Lineage: Eukaryota; Viridiplantae; Streptophyta; Bryopsida; Funariales; Funariaceae. The record is from RefSeq and is a predicted model, not a curated record.